GCAGUCGACGAUGAAGCUGGAGCUUGCUCCGGUGGAUUAGUGGCGAACGGGUGAGUAACACGUGAGCAAUCUGCCCUUGACUCUGGGAUAACUGCGGGAAACUGUAGCUAAUACCGGAUACGACACCUUGGGGCAUCCCAGGGUGUGGAAAGAAUUUCGGUCAAGGAUGAGCUCGCGGCCUAUCAGCUAGUUGGUGAGGUAAUGGCUCACCAAGGCGACGACGGGUAGCCGGCCUGAGAGGGUGACCGGCCACACUGGGACUGAGACACGGUCCAGACUCCUACGGGAGGCAGCAGUGGGGAAUAUUGCACAAUGGGCGAAAGCCUGAUGCAGCAACGCCGCGUGAGGGAUGAAGGCCUUCGGGUUGUAAACCUCUUUUAGCAGGGAAGAAGCGAAAGUGACGGUACCUGCAGAAAAAGCACCGGCUAACUACGUGCCAGCAGCCGCGGUAAUACGUAGGGUGCAAGCGUUGUCCGGAAUUAUUGGGCGUAAAGAGCUCGUAGGCGGUUUGUCGCGUCUGCUGUGAAAAUCCGAGGCUCAACCUCGGACCUGCAGUGGGUACGGGCAAACUAGAGUGCGGUAGGGGAGAUGGGAAUUCCUGGUGUAGCGGUGGAAUGCGCAGAUAUCAGGAGGAACACCGAUGGCGAAGGCACAUCUCUGGGCCGUAACUGACGCUGAGGAGCGAAAGCGUGGGGAGCGAACAGGAUUAGAUACCCUGGUAGUCCACGCCGUAAACGGUGGGUGCUAGUUGUGGGUUCC
RNAcentral lists this ribosomal RNA (759 nucleotides) under uncultured bacterium. RNAcentral describes it as "bacterial SSU rRNA". It matches the Rfam family "Bacterial small subunit ribosomal RNA", at positions 57 to 830 of the family's 1533-position model. The record is from RNAcentral.